This 543-nucleotide ribosomal RNA is filed under the name uncultured Mycobacterium sp. RNAcentral describes it as "bacterial SSU rRNA". It matches the Rfam family "Bacterial small subunit ribosomal RNA", at positions 54 to 606 of the family's 1533-position model. Lineage: Bacteria; Bacillati; Actinomycetota; Actinomycetes; Mycobacteriales; Mycobacteriaceae. The record is from RNAcentral.
CAUGCAAGUCGAACGGAAAGUGCCCAGCUUGCUGGGUGACUCGAGUGGCGAACGGGUGAGUAACACGUGGGUGAUCUGCCCUGCACUUUGGGAUAAGCCUGGGAAACUGGGUCUAAUACCGAAUACACCCUGCUGGUCGCAUGGCCUGGUGGGGGAAAGCUUUUGCGGUGUGGGAUGGGCCCGCGGCCUAUCAGCUUGUUGGUGGGGUGAUGGCCUACCAAGGCGACGACGGGUAGCCGGCCUGAGAGGGUGUCCGGCCACACUGGGACUGAGAUACGGCCCAGACUCCUACGGGAGGCAGCAGUGGGGAAUAUUGCACAAUGGGCGCAAGCCUGAUGCAGCGACGCCGCGUGAGGGAUGACGGCCUUCGGGUUGUAAACCUCUUUCAAUAGGGACGAAGCGCAAGUGACGGUACCUAGAGAAGAAGCACCGGCCAACUACGUGCCAGCAGCCGCGGUAAUACGUAGGGUGCGAGCGUUGUCCGGAAUUACUGGGCGUAAAGAGCUCGUAGGUGGUUUGUCGCGUUGUUCGUGAAAACUCACA